UAGGGAAUCUUCGGCAAUGGGGGGAACCCUGACCGAGCAACGCCGCGUGAGUGAAGAAGGUUUUCGGAUCGUAAAGCUCUGUUGUUAAGGAAGAACGAGUGUGAGAAUGGAAAGUUCAUACUGUGACGGUACUUAACCAGAAAGGGACGGCUAACUACGUGCCCGCAGCCGCGGUAAUACGUAGGUCCCGAGCGUUGUCCGGAUUUAUUGGGCGUAAAGCGCGCGCAGGGGGUUAGAUAAGUCUGAAGUUAAAGGCAGUGGCUCAACCAUUGUAGGCUUUGGAAACUGUUUAACUUGGGUGCAGAAGGGGAGGGGGGAAUUCCCUGUGUAGGGGUGAAAUGCGUAGAUAUAUGGAAGAACACCGGUGGCGAAAGCGACUCUCUAGUCUGUAACUGACGCUGAGGAACGAAAGCGUGGGGGGCGAACAGG
This 429-nucleotide ribosomal RNA is filed under the name Bacteroidota bacterium. RNAcentral's name for it is "Bacteroidetes bacterium partial 16S ribosomal RNA". It matches the Rfam family "Bacterial small subunit ribosomal RNA", at positions 355 to 776 of the family's 1533-position model. The record is from RNAcentral. Lineage: Bacteria; Pseudomonadati; Bacteroidota.